AGUGGCUCUCAACCUUUCCAGUCUACUGCCCCCCUUUCAGGAGUCUGGUUUGUCUUGUGUACCCCCAAGUUUUCACUUCACUUCAAAACUACUGGCUUACAAAAUCAGACAUGAAAAUACAAAAGUGUCAGAGCCACUAGUACUGAAAAAUUGCUCACUUUUUGGA
Molecule: long non-coding RNA, 166 nt
Organism: Chelonia mydas (Green sea turtle)
Lineage: Eukaryota; Metazoa; Chordata; Testudines; Cheloniidae
Exons: 3
Source: RefSeq, a predicted model, not a curated record